Molecule: unclassified non-coding RNA, 339 nt
Filed under: Hevea brasiliensis (rubber tree)
Lineage: Eukaryota; Viridiplantae; Streptophyta; Magnoliopsida; Malpighiales; Euphorbiaceae
Source: RNAcentral
UUGGUUUCUGUUGCAAUCUGCCAUAUCAGCUUCCCCUGUUAAAUCACCCCUAAUCAUUAAUAAUCAUGAUGGAGAUUAUGAUUAACAGAAUGACAAAACACUGACUUAAAAAAGGAAAAGAAAGAAAGAAUUCUACCAAAACUCUUUUAGCAAAGAAACCCCAGUAAUGGAAUGGCUAUGGGAUGAACUCUAUAUAUAUACACACGCAUGAAGAAAGGAAAAGAGAGGAUCUUUACAUUACCUUGCAGUAUAGAAAAGCAGAAACACAGAGAGAGAAGAGAAAGAGAGAAUAGAGAAUGGUUUGGAGUGAAGAGUUGAGAUAAGAAUAUGCAAAGUAAG